RNAcentral lists this small RNA (54 nucleotides) under Sinorhizobium meliloti 2011. RNAcentral describes it as "putative ncRNA". Lineage: Bacteria; Pseudomonadati; Pseudomonadota; Alphaproteobacteria; Hyphomicrobiales; Rhizobiaceae. The record is from RNAcentral.
AUCUCCUCUUCGAUCGUCGGCUCCUUGCGGGUGUCCUGCGAGGGCGAUCCGAGU